This 429-nucleotide ribosomal RNA is filed under the name uncultured bacterium. RNAcentral describes it as "bacterial SSU rRNA". It matches the Rfam family "Bacterial small subunit ribosomal RNA", at positions 29 to 464 of the family's 1533-position model. The record is from RNAcentral.
AUUGAACGCUGGCGGCAGGCCUAACACAUGCAAGUCGAACGCGAAAGUCCUUCGGGAUGAGUAGAGUGGCGGACGGGUGAGUAACGCGUAGGAAUCUGCCCUGUAGUGGGGGAUAACGUUCCGAAAGGAACGCUAAUACCGCAUACGCCCCACGGGGGAAAGCGGGGGAUCUUCGGACCUCGCGCUACAGGAUGAGCCUGCGUCGGAUUAGCUGGUUGGUAGGGUAAAAGGCCUACCAAGGCGACGAUCCGUAGCUGGUCUGAGAGGAUGAUCAGCCACACCGGAACUGAGACACGGUCCGGACUCCUACGGGAGGCAGCAGUGGGGAAUAUUGCGCAAUGGGGGGAACCCUGACGCAGCCAUGCCGCGUGUGUGAAGAAGGCCUCGGUUGUAAGCACUUUCUAGUGGGGAGGAAAGGGGACGGCUGGG